RNAcentral lists this long non-coding RNA (1573 nucleotides) under Salmo salar (Atlantic salmon). RNAcentral's name for it is "lncRNA (ENSSSAG00000100553.1)". The record is from RNAcentral. Lineage: Eukaryota; Metazoa; Chordata; Actinopteri; Salmoniformes; Salmonidae.
GUGUAUUAAUGGUGUAUUUGAUCUGCACAUGUGCUAUCACGAGCAGCGUAAAUCUCCUUUUCUGGUACAGGUGAAGUGAGUUUGGAAAAUCUGAAAGUAUGCAUAGUUUUCACAUGCAAACUUUAUAUAGUAUGUCCAAACUCUGAAUCAAAUAGGCUUCCCAAAAUGAUAUGAUCAAUGUGAUAGAACGUUUAUGUUGAUUGGUGAUUUUCAGGUUGCCUGAUUAUGACCUGUCCACUGGAUUGUAGAGGAAAUCGUUCUUCUCGCAAAGCAUGUAAAUGUUUUAAUCAAACUAUUAUAUUAAUCAGAGUAUUAACACUAAUCAUAUUAUUGAAUGCAUAUAAACAUACCCAUUGUUACAUGAAAUACAGUAGUUUGCAAAAAUACUUAAUUUAAAGUUUGUGCUUAUAUAGAAAUAUGCAGUUGGUAAAGUGCUAUUGCUCAAACUAAAGCCACGUGCCUUUAAAGCCUGCUCACACUUCUACUCUGCCAGUGUGUAUCUCUGUGUAUAUCUCUGUUCUUUACUAACCUAUGUGAGAACAAGUUUACUGCAGUACUAGCAAACUUUACAAUGACAAUCUUAAAAUGUGUGAUGUGAUUGCAAGAUCACUGCCUUACCUCUCAUAAUCAAUAAUAUUAAAGUCCAUUUUUACCCAGUGCUGUCUUUUUAACAGAAUUGUAAAACUGUCACACUUAGAACUUAGUAGUAAUAAAGCAGUGGUUUUCUUUUUAAUGAUUUUAAUGUGGCAGAUACCAUAGACACCCUACAGGCCUGUACUGUACCUGGCAUUGCGUGGUAUACCAAAGAUACUGGCAACUAACCCAAUAUAUCUCAUCGGCGUCGUUUCUAAUGUGAGCAAAUUAAGCAUAUUGGACAGAACAAGCAAGGAGGUGGGCAGAGCCAAGCACGAGCUAGCAAGAUCCUAUUGGCACGUGUAUGCAAGUAUUUGCAUAUUUCCGUUAGGGAAGUCUCUAUUGCACCCCCGAGUCAACUCACACGAUCACUGCGUCAUAAAAAGAGGAAGGGUGUGUCUUAGUUGUUACAAUCUGAUCAUGCUCGAAACGACGGAACAUUACAACCACAUAGUCCAUUUAACCGCUCCCCUAACCUUAACCAUUACCCAAACCUUAACCCUAACUCUAAAUUGAGUACCAAAAAUGUACGUAGUUACACAUUAUUUCGGACAAAAUCGUAACUUUAGUUCUUUCUAGCAUGGCCAUCUACAGUAAACUACAGAGUUGUUUUUCGCUGCACUCUUUCAAUUACUCACAGAUGCCCCCUUCUGGAUGUACAGCCAAAAGCACUAUGGACACCGUUGUGGCCAGUUUGUGCUGUUUGAAUAUGUCUAGUUGUGUGCGUGUUUGUGUGUGUACCCACAAUGCCUGCAUGUGAGUUCAAGUCUCUACCCUUGAAUGACACUCACCUUGAGGUUCCAUUUCCUGCUCUAAAAAAAUGGUGAUAACCUCAAUUAAAAUAAUGUUUGUCUGCCAUUGUUAUUACCCUGACUGAAAUCGAUGAAUAAACUACAAAUGUCUUGAUCUUCUGAAACUUUGGUUUCAAAUGAUUAAAAAU